This 230-nucleotide ribosomal RNA is filed under the name uncultured bacterium. RNAcentral's name for it is "partial 16S ribosomal RNA". It matches the Rfam family "Bacterial small subunit ribosomal RNA", at positions 562 to 791 of the family's 1533-position model. The record is from RNAcentral.
AAAGCGUGCGCAGGCGGUUAUGUAAGACAGAUGUGAAAUCCCCGGGCUCAACCUGGGAACUGCAUUAGUGACUGCAUAGCUGGAGUACGGCAGAGGGGGAUGGAAUUCCGCGUGUAGCAGUGAAAUGCGUAGAUAUGCGGAGGAACACAGAUGGCGAAGGCAAUCCCCUGGGCCUGUACUGACGCUCAUGCACGAAAGCGUGGGGAGCAAACAGGAUUAGAUACCCCAGU